GUGGGGAAUAUUGGACAAUGGGCGAAAGCCUGAUCCAGCCAUGCCGCGUGUGUGAAGAAGGUCUUCGGAUUGUAAAGCACUUUAAGUUGGGAGGAAGGGCAGUAAGUUAAUACCUUGCUGUUUUGACGUUACCAACAGAAUAAGCACCGGCUAACUUCGUGCCAGCAGCCGCGGUAAUACGAAGGGUGCAAGCGUUAAUCGGAAUUACUGGGCGUAAAGCGCGCGUAGGUGGUUUUGUAAGUUGGAGGUGAAAUCCCCGGGCUCAACCUGGGAACUGCCUCCAAAACUACUGAGCUAGAGUACGGUAGAGGGUAGUGGAAUUUCCUGUGUAGCGGUGAAAUGCGUAGAUAUAGGAAGGAACACCAGUGGCGAAGGCGACUACCUGGACUGAUACUGACACUGAGGUGCGAAAGCGUGGGGAGCAAACAGGAUUAGAAACCCCAGUAGUCC
RNAcentral lists this ribosomal RNA (450 nucleotides) under uncultured bacterium. RNAcentral describes it as "partial 16S ribosomal RNA". It matches the Rfam family "Bacterial small subunit ribosomal RNA", at positions 354 to 796 of the family's 1533-position model. The record is from RNAcentral.